Molecule: non-coding RNA, 48 nt
Filed under: Schistosoma mansoni
Lineage: Eukaryota; Metazoa; Platyhelminthes; Trematoda; Strigeidida; Schistosomatidae
Source: RNAcentral
AUCCAGCUGACGAGUCCCAAAUAGGACGAGGAGGGGCGCGUCCUGGAU